UACGGAGGGGGCUAGCGUUGUUCGGAAUUACUGGGCGUAAAGCGCACGUAGGCGGCUUUGUAAGUUAGAGGUGAAAGCCCGGGGCUCAACCCCGGAACUGCCUUUAAGACUGCAUCGCUUGAACAUCGGAGAGGUGAGUGGAAUUCCGAGUGUAGAGGUGAAAUUCGUAGAUAUUCGGAAGAACACCAGUGGCGAAGGCGGCUCACUGGACGAUUGUUGAUGCUGAGGUGCGAAAGCGUGGGGAGCAAACAGG
RNAcentral lists this ribosomal RNA (253 nucleotides) under uncultured bacterium. RNAcentral's name for it is "partial 16S ribosomal RNA". It matches the Rfam family "Bacterial small subunit ribosomal RNA", at positions 524 to 776 of the family's 1533-position model. The record is from RNAcentral.